This 468-nucleotide ribosomal RNA is filed under the name uncultured bacterium. RNAcentral's name for it is "partial 16S ribosomal RNA". The stretch from base 16 to 370 matches the Rfam family "Bacterial small subunit ribosomal RNA", at positions 43 to 396 of the family's 1533-position model. The record is from RNAcentral.
GACGAACGCUGGCGGCGUGCUUAACACAUGCAAGUCGAACGGAAAGGCCCUGCUUUUGUGGGGUGCUCGAGUGGCGAACGGGUGAGUAACACGUGAGUAACCUGCCCUUGACUUUGGGAUAACUUCAGGAAACUGGGGCUAAUACCGGAUAGGAGCUCCUGCUGCAUGGUGGGGGUUGGAAAGUUUCGGCGGUUGGGGAUGGACUCGCGGCUUAUCAGCUUGUUGGUGGGGUAGUGGCUUACCAAGGCUUUGACGGGUAGCCGGCCUGAGAGGGCGACCGGGGGCAGUGGGAUGGGGAGGAGGAGCGGGGACCGGAGGGGGAGGGCGGGGGGGAAGGGUGCAGAGUGGGCGGGAGCGGGCUGCAGCUACGGCCGGUGGGGGAGGAAGGGGGGGGGGGUGGAAACCGCGGUCGCCGGUGACGAAGCGUGGGGCAGGGUAAAGAGUAAAGAAGCAACGACUAAGUAAAUG